This 301-nucleotide ribosomal RNA is filed under the name uncultured bacterium. RNAcentral's name for it is "partial 16S ribosomal RNA". It matches the Rfam family "Bacterial small subunit ribosomal RNA", at positions 509 to 809 of the family's 1533-position model. The record is from RNAcentral.
CAGUCGCCACGGUAAUACGAAGGGUGCAAGCGUUAAUCGGAAUUACUGGGCGUAAAGCGUGCGUAGGCGGUGAGUUAAGUCUGCUGUGAAAUCCCCGGGCUCAACCUGGGAAUGGCAGUGGAUACUGGCUCGCUAGAGUGUGUCAGAGGAUGGUGGAAUUCCCGGUGUAGCGGUGAAAUGCGUAGAGAUCGGGAGGAACAUCAGUGGCGAAGGCGGCCAUCUGGGACAACACUGACGCUGAGGCACGGAAGCGUGGGGAGCAAACAGGAUUAGAUACCCCCGUAGUCCCUGUCUCUUAUAA